Molecule: ribosomal RNA, 119 nt
Filed under: Triticum aestivum (bread wheat)
Lineage: Eukaryota; Viridiplantae; Streptophyta; Magnoliopsida; Poales; Poaceae
Source: RNAcentral
GGAUGCGAUGAUACCAGCACUAAAGCACCGGAUCCCAUCAGAACUCCGAAGUUAAGUGUGCUAGGGCGAGAGUAGUACUAGGAUGGGUGACCUCCUGGGAAGUCCUCGUGUUGCAUUCC